Molecule: long non-coding RNA, 530 nt
Filed under: Triticum aestivum (bread wheat)
Lineage: Eukaryota; Viridiplantae; Streptophyta; Magnoliopsida; Poales; Poaceae
Description: long non-coding RNA (TAES_LNC008253)
Source: RNAcentral
UUCUACCAAAUUCCAUCUAAGGUAGUCUAUUUAGCUGACUCAAUCCUUAUAGCUGCCUGUAUGGUAUUUAGUACUUGAUUUCCUAACUAAUUGAAAUCCUUGUUAGCACUCUUCUCAUGUGAGGCACUCCACAAGAAACUCCACAAGAAAUUCCUAGGUGCACCGAGAAGGACUAGUUCUUCUUUGUUUCUGAACAUGGUGGUCCUUCGGGUAGAGAGUCCUAAGAUUUCAUUAAUGCAACAUCAGGUUCGAAAUUGCUUCAUGCACGAUUCUCCUGGCCGACGCAUGCACGACACAGAAAUUCAACGGCUGGUGCCUGAUGUAUGCACGCAUGUGUGGCCGGAUUUUAAACAUCGUCUAUGAGUCGUCCAUUUUUGUCGUGUGUAUAGCAUAGCUCCAUCAGGUUAUGUCUCCUGUUAUUAUGCAAAAUACAAUGUUGUGUAUGUUGUCAUAGAAGCCAAUUUGGAUAUGUAAAUCUUGCUUUUUCCUGAGUAUAUACGAGAUUUCAUUGAUUAUGGACUAAUAUAUGG